CAAUAGCGUAUAUUAAUGUUGUUGCAGUUAAAAAGCUCGUAGUUGGAUUUCUGGUGGGAGCGGCCGGUCCGCCGUAAGGUGUGUACUUGGUUGUCUCCUGUCAUCCUUGUGGGAACUGCUCUGGCAUUAAGUUGUCGGGGUUAGGGAACACAUCGUUUACUGUGAAAAAAUUAGAGUGUUUAAAGCAGGCUUAUGCCGUUGAAUACAUUAGCAUGGAAUAAUAAGAUAGGACUUUGGCGUCUAUUUUGUUGGUUUGCACGCCAAGGUAAUGAUUAAUAGGGAUAGUUGGGGGUAUUCGUAUUUAAUUGUCAGAGGUGAAAUUCUUGGAUUUAUGAAAGACGAACUUCUGCGAAAGCAUUUACCAAAGAUGUUUUCAUUAA
RNAcentral lists this ribosomal RNA (380 nucleotides) under uncultured eukaryote. RNAcentral describes it as "partial 18S ribosomal RNA". It matches the Rfam family "Eukaryotic small subunit ribosomal RNA", at positions 592 to 976 of the family's 1831-position model. The record is from RNAcentral.